GACGAACGCUGGCGGCGUGCUUAACACAUGCAAGUCGAACGGAAAGGCCCUUCGGGGUACUCGAGUGGCGAACGGGUGAGUAACACGUGGGUGAUCUGCCCUGCACUUUGGGAUAAGCCUGGGAAACUGGGUCUAAUACCGAAUAGGACCACGCGCUUCAUGGUGUGUGGUGGAAAGCUUUUGCGGUGUGGGAUGGGCCCGCGGCCUAUCAGCUUGUUGGUGGGGUAAUGGCCUACCAAGGCGACGACGGGUAGCCGGCCUGAGAGGGUGACCGGCCACACUGGGACUGAGAUACGGCCCAGACUCCUACGGGAGGCAGCAGUGGGGAAUAUUGCACAAUGGGCGCAAGCCUGAUGCAGCGACGCCGCGUGAGGGAUGACGGCCUUCGGGUUGUAAACCUCUUUCAAUAGGGACGAAGCGUGAGUGACGGUACCUAUAGAAGAAGCACCGGCCAACUACGUGCCAGCAGCCGCGGUAAUACGUAGGGUGCGAGCGUUGUCCGGAAUUACUGGGCGUAAAGAGCUCGUAGGUGGUUUGUCGCGUUGUUCGUGAAAACUCACAGCUUAACUGUGGGCGUGCGGGCGAUACGGGCAGACUAGAGUACUGCAGGGGAGACUGGAAUUCCUGGUGUAGCGGUGGAAUGCGCAGAUAUCAGGAGGAACACCGGUGGCGAAGGCGGGUCUCUGGGCAGUAACUGACGCUGAGGAGCGAAAGCGUGGGGAGCGAACAGGAUUAGAUACCCUGGUAGUCCACGCCGUAAACGGUGGGUACUAGGUGUGGGUUCCUUCCUUGGGAUCCGUGCCGUAGCUAACGCAUUAAGUACCCCGCCUGGGGAGUACGGCCGCAAGGCUAAAACUCAAAGGAAUUGACGGGGGCCCGCACAAGCGGCGGAGCAUGUGGAUUAAUUCGAUGCAACGCGAAGAACCUUACCUGGGUUUGACAUGCACAGGACGCCGGCAGAGAUGUCGGUUCCCUUGUGGCCUGUGUGCAGGUGGUGCAUGGCUGUCGUCAGCUCGUGUCGUGAGAUGUUGGGUUAAGUCCCGCAACGAGCGCAACCCUUGUCCUAUGUUGCCAGCGGGUUAUGCCGGGGACUCGUAGGAGACUGCCGGGGUCAACUCGGAGGAAGGUGGGGAUGACGUCAAGUCAUCAUGCCCCUUAUGUCCAGGGCUUCACACAUGCUACAAUGGCCGGUACAAAGGGCUGCGAUGCCGUGAGGUGGAGCGAAUCCUUUCAAAGCCGGUCUCAGUUCGGAUCGGGGUCUGCAACUCGACCCCGUGAAGUCGGAGUCGCUAGUAAUCGCAGAUCAGCAACGCUGCGGUGAAUACGUUCCCGGGCCU
RNAcentral lists this ribosomal RNA (1337 nucleotides) under uncultured bacterium. RNAcentral describes it as "bacterial SSU rRNA". It matches the Rfam family "Bacterial small subunit ribosomal RNA", at positions 28 to 1381 of the family's 1533-position model. The record is from RNAcentral.